AUUGAACGCUGGCGGCAUGCUUUACACAUGCAAGUCGAGCGGCAGCGCGGGGGCAACCCUGGCGGCGAGCGGCGAACGGGUGAGUAAUGCAUCGGAACGUACCCUGUCGUGGGGGAUAACGAGUCGAAAGAUUCGCUAAUACCGCAUACGACCCGAGGGUGAAAGCGGGGGAUCGCAAGACCUCGCGCGACUGGAGCGGCCGAUGGCGGAUUAGCUAGUUGGUGGGGUAAAGGCCCACCAAGGCGACGAUCCGUAGCUGGUCUGAGAGGAUGAUCAGCCACACUGGAACUGAGACACGGUCCAGACUCCUACGGGAGGCAGCAGUAAGGAAUAUUGCUCAAUGGCCGAAAGGCUGAAGCAGCAACGCCGCGUGGAGGACGAAAUACUUUUGUAUGUAAACUCCUGUAAGAAGGGAAAAUAUGCAGUUUUCUGCAUUGAUUGUACCUUCAGAGUAAGCCCCGGCUAACUACGUGCCAGCAGUCGCG
This 485-nucleotide ribosomal RNA is filed under the name uncultured bacterium. RNAcentral describes it as "bacterial SSU rRNA". It matches the Rfam family "Bacterial small subunit ribosomal RNA", at positions 30 to 519 of the family's 1533-position model. The record is from RNAcentral.